AACGAACGCUGGCGGCAGGCCUAACACAUGCAAGUCGAACGCCGUAGCAAUACGGAGUGGCAGACGGGUGAGUAACACGUGGGAACGUACCCUUCGGUUCGGGAUAACUCAGGGAAACUUGAGCUAAUACCGGAUACGUCCGAGAGGAGAAAGAUUUAUCGCCGAGGGAUCGGCCCGCGUCUGAUUAGCUUGUUGGUGAGGUAACGGCUCACCAAGGCGACGAUCAGUAGCUGGUCGAGAGGAUGAUCAGCCACAUUGGGACUGAGACACGGCCCAAACUCCUACGGGAGGCAGCAGUGGGGAAUAUUGGACAAUGGGCGCAAGCCUGAUCCAGCCAUGCCGCGUGAGUGAUGAA
Molecule: ribosomal RNA, 355 nt
Filed under: uncultured bacterium
Lineage: Bacteria
Description: bacterial SSU rRNA
Rfam family: Bacterial small subunit ribosomal RNA
Source: RNAcentral